GAGUUUGAUCAUGGCUCAGAUUGAACGCUGGCGGCAUGCCUUACACAUGCAAGUCGAGCGGCAGCGCGGGGGCAACCCUGGCGGCGAGCGGCGAACGGGUGAGUAAUACAUCAGAACGUGUCCAGUAGUGGGGGAUAACCAGUCGAAAGAUUGGCUAAUACCGCAUACGAUCUACGGAUGAAAGCGGGGGACCGCAAGGCCUCGCGCUAUUGGAGCGGCCGAUGUCGGAUUAGCUAGUUGGCGGGGUAAAAGCCCACCAAGGCGACGAUCCGUAGCUGGUCUGAGAGGACGAUCAGCCACACUGGAACUGAGACACGGUCCAGACUCCUACGGGAGGCAGCAGUGGGGAAUUUUGGGACAAUGGGGGCAACCCUGAUCCAGCCAUGCCGCGUGAGUGAAG
This 400-nucleotide ribosomal RNA is filed under the name uncultured beta proteobacterium. RNAcentral's name for it is "bacterial SSU rRNA". It matches the Rfam family "Bacterial small subunit ribosomal RNA", at positions 9 to 410 of the family's 1533-position model. Lineage: Bacteria; Pseudomonadati; Pseudomonadota; Betaproteobacteria. The record is from RNAcentral.